GUAGGGGGCAAGCGUUGUCCGGAAUUAUUGGGCGUAAAGCGCGCGCAGGCGGUCUCUUAAGUCCGAUGUGAAAGCCCACGGCUCAACCGUGGAGGGUCAUUGGAAACUGGGGGACUUGAGUGUAGGAGAGGAAAGUGGAAUUCCACGUGUAGCGGUGAAAUGCGUAGAUAUGUGGAGGAACACCAGUGGCGAAGGCGACUUUCUGGCCUACAACUGACGCUGAGGUGCGAAAGCGUGGGGAGCAAACAGGGAUUAGAUACCCUGGUAGUCCACGCCGUAAACGAUGAGUGCUAGGUGUUAGGGGUUUCGAUGCCCCUUAGUGCCCGAAGUUAACACAUUAAGCACUCCGCCUGGGGGAGUACGACCGCAAGGUUG
This 375-nucleotide ribosomal RNA is filed under the name uncultured organism. RNAcentral describes it as "partial 16S ribosomal RNA". It matches the Rfam family "Bacterial small subunit ribosomal RNA", at positions 527 to 896 of the family's 1533-position model. The record is from RNAcentral.